AGUGAACGCUGGCGGUAGGCCUAACACAUGCAAGUCGAACGGCAGCACAGUAAGAGCUUGCUCUUACGGGUGGCGAGUGGCGGACGGGUGAGGAAUACAUCGGAAUCUACUUUUUCGUGGGGGAUAACGUAGGGAAACUUACGCUAAUACCGCAUACGACCUACGGGUGAAAGCAGGGGAUCUUCGGACCUUGCGCGAUUGAAUGAGCCGAUGUCGGAUUAGCUAGUUGGCAAGGUAAAGGCCCACCAAGGCGACGAUGCGUAGCUGAUCUGAGCGGAUGAUAGGCCACACUGGAACUGAGACACGGUCCAGACUCUUACGGGAGGAAGCAGUAGGGAAUAUUACGCAAUGGGCGAAAGCAUGAAGGAGCAAAGCCGCGUGAGUGAUGAAGGGCUUCGGAUCGUAAAACUCUGUUAUUAGGAAAGAACAAAUGUGUAAGUAACUAUGCACGUCUUGACGGUACCUAAUCAGAAAGCCACGGCUAACUACGUG
RNAcentral lists this ribosomal RNA (492 nucleotides) under uncultured bacterium. RNAcentral describes it as "partial 16S ribosomal RNA". It matches the Rfam family "Bacterial small subunit ribosomal RNA", at positions 29 to 507 of the family's 1533-position model. The record is from RNAcentral.